UUACGGCCAUAUUAUAUUGAAACACCGGCUCCCGUUCGAUCACCGAAGUUAAGUAACGUCGAGCCUGGUCAGUACUAAAAUGGGUCACCACUUGCGAAUACUAGGUGCU
Acanthosepion pharaonis is the source of this 109-nucleotide non-coding RNA. The record is from the annotation of a GenBank genome assembly. NCBI's taxonomy places the organism in Eukaryota, Metazoa, Mollusca, Cephalopoda, Sepiida, Sepiidae.